GCAUGGCUGAAUUCUGUGUUACUUUGUGUGUAGUAAAUACAGUCAGACACCAUGCAACAUUAACUUUCACUCUCUUUUGUGCUACAUUGAGGCCUGAUGUGUGUCUCAUUACAGGAUGGAGAGUGAACACAU
Chanos chanos (milkfish) is the source of this 132-nucleotide small nucleolar RNA. RefSeq annotates it as small nucleolar RNA SNORA15. The transcript has a single exon. NCBI's taxonomy places the organism in Eukaryota, Metazoa, Chordata, Actinopteri, Gonorynchiformes, Chanidae. The record is from RefSeq and is a predicted model, not a curated record.